AGCCGUCCGAUCGUCUCCUUCAGGUUUCGCAGAAGAGCGAAACCAAAUGAAGGAACGAAACAGCGACAAACAUCAAAAGCGCUUUCUGUUCUUGUCCUCCUCCUCCAAUCCAUUCACUGCUACAAUAUCUACCCAGAAAACCUAGCCAUCGAUUUCUAGCACUGUUUAUUCUCCAUCCGUAGCUUUGCUUCCUCUGCUCGGCCGGAUUCUGUCGAUCCAUUCCAGCCGCUUCGGGCUGCACCCAGCUGCAAAUCUCAAGCUGAGCAGCCGGGCACUGCUUCAAAAUUUCAAAUUUGGAGGACCCCGAUUGAACUCUGGUGCCGAGGCCCGUGCUGGGUCCCCUUCGUUUCUUGGGUCCCUUCCCUUUCUUGAAGGUUAAUUGAGUCCUGAUAGCUGGUUCAGCUACAAAUACAGGGAAUUUGAGCUCGGAUUCGAUGGGGGGAAGGGGAGGAUCCGGGCAAGGAGAAGCAAUCGGAUACGGCUGCAAAUGCAGAUGCCGCAACACCCCGCCAAGAAGCUAGCGAGACAGCUCGAUUUCACAGGGUUUAGCGGGGACCAUCGGGGGAGGCAGCUCAGUGCUGCCGGCGCAUCCAGAGACAUAGACGCCGUUCAAACUAAGGAGGCUUGGCUGCAAACUGGCCCGGCCCUGGCCCGCCUCGGCCUGUCCCUCUAAGGGUACCUCAUCCCACAGUUAGGGCAGUCAAAUUGAAUCCCCUAAGGCAAGACCAAGAUCGAAUGUAGAUGGAAAAGAUGGCACGCCAAAGAAACAAAAGCAGUGCAACCGUAAACGUUCGCGAUGCUUGAAGCUGCAAGUACCCUCAUCUAAGAAAGUUUUUAGUGAUGUCUCAUUGAAAAUGCAUUUAUUUGCUGGUAUUUUGAAUGCUUCUUGUCAUUGUUAUCCUGUAAAGAUAUUAUUGCACUGUGAAGAGAAUAGGCAUUUCAUCAUGUUUGACAAAGCAUUAAUUUAAUAGGUUUUGUUUUCAAACUAUCAAUGAGAAAAGGGUUAUAGUUCUUGGAUGAUUUGUUCUUUGAAAAUAAGAUCACUGAAGUGUUAGCAUUUCUGUAAACAAUUAAAUAUUUCAGUCUUAUCUGUUAAUGCUACGUAAGAUUACUACUCUGUGUAAAAACCGUACCCCUUGCUCUGCUUUUUCCUGUCAAAUGGAGAAAACCUAACUUGUCUGCUCAGAAAUAUAUGUUUUUGAUAGGUUACAUCCCACUUAUUGAUAAAGAAGAAAAGAAUGUAUUAUUCUGUAGGUUCACUUGCAUUACAUGCAUGAAAUUCAGCUUGAGGUGCAGCUUUGUUCCCUAUUCUCAUUGAUCAGAUACUUGGGCACUCUAAGUGCUAGGUGGGAGAUAGAGUCAUGAUAUUGAUGCUUGUUGCCAUAAAAUUUUGAGCAAAGUAACCUAUCGUGGAGGCUAUUUAAAAAAAAACUUAUUUUUCAGAUAACCAAGUCUCAAGUAAAAUGAUAGGUGCUAGGUCCACUACGUAAAAAAUUGCAUCAGUUAAAAUGAUAUCGGUCUCAUUUGGUUGCGACAACCAUGAACAUUAAUGUGGUCAAUGGCAUGUACAUAUAUGAUAAGAAAUACUGUCCAUAUCUACUUAGAUUUUAAUAUUAAUACUCAGUGUUUUCUCAUUUUGGUUGAUUAAAUUGUCUUUUUAGAAAACAAACUUUUUGUCCUACAGAUAAAUUUAUGAGUGUGGUGAUCUGAGUUUUCACUGAGAUAAUAAUAUAUAUAUCUUUUUUUUUCUUUUUUUCUUUUUUGGUGAAUGCUUGCAUCACUUUUAUGGGUGGAGCGGCAGUUCCACAGUUAAUGCAUACAAAAGGAAUUCAUCAUGUUUUAUCUUUUCCCCUUUGUUGACCUGCGUCCUGUAUUAUUGACCUGUUUUGCAUAGCUGACAGAGAUUGGGUCCAAUUUUGUUUUUUUUUGUUUUUUUUUGUUUUCUGAAUAUGAAUGCACAUGUUUCUGUUUAAUAGUGUUUUUCUGCGUACAAAAUCGCCUGUCUUGUUCCUCUUCAUCUUCAUAUAAUAAGCUUCAGCUUCUCUGCCUGCUUUUCAUGAAAAUAGAGGAAAAGAGUAAAGAGGUGAUGAUGAUCUGUGGAGAAGAAGAAAUUUUAAUCAGAACUUAGCAGGCACAAGGGGCUGUCCAUAGCUUGGCGUGGUGGCUCCAAGAAGCUGCAGCCUUAGCUCGGCUCCUUGUUUGUCUGAUCAGAAGCCAGAGUCUGAGCCUCAUUAAGUAAAGAUUACUCUUUGUGGGCAUUGGGAAGCAAGGAAAAUUCACUGGAGUCUUUCUGAGGGUUUUCUUGGUUCUCCAACUUAUUAGUUUAAGAAUUGAGGCUUUGCUCUUGAGAAGCCAUUGAUGGUGGCCUUCUCCAAAAAACAGCGGAGCCAGUGAUUUCUCAAACUAUUUGAUUUUUAAAGUUUCACCAGUUUUUCUCAAUAGAGAUAACAGCAACAGCAACAAGCAAGCACUGAUUUCUACAUUCAUUUUGCUUGUAUGCGUACCUUCCAAACCCAAAAACAAAAGCAAAAGAUACUUCUGCAAGACAUAUAUCACCAUCACCAUCAACUUCAUCAUCAUCAUCAUCUUCGCUACCAAAGAGAUACAACAGAUACUUCUUCCUACAGAGAUAGAAACUAUGAAGGCACAAUGAGGACUUCCGCAGACUGAAAAUCGGAAAAUUUACAGUCACAAGGAGGUAUUUGUAGUUUGGCAUGGUGGCUUUGAAAAGCUGCAGCCACUGCAGAGUACCGCACUUGCACUCAGCCGCCUAACUGGUUUUGUCAUCAAUGCUAUUGUUAUUAUUAUUAUUAUUAUUAUUGAAGAAUGAAAAGCGAAAAAUCCGUCUCUCUGACCCUGUUUACCUGUGAUGAUGGGGAACGGAAAACUAUUAAAGCAUUAUUUGCUUAUGGGAGUAGUUGAUUCACCUGACUCUGAUGUUGGAAGAGUGCGCUAUACUAUGAGGCAGUGAUGAUUAUGCAAACAAAAAUUUAUAAUAAACUAUGGACAGUGGCAGUCCUGGUGAGGUUCUGCUGGUCCUAUGCCUUUACUUGCCUGGAAAUAAAUUCCCAAAAUCUGAGCCUCCAACAUCUGUUCCUUUAAUGCUUGUGCUAAUACCUCAGGGUCCAUUCUUGAGCAUGUUCGGGGAGGCUUAAGAAUCCCAGCUCUUCAUUUAGGGAUGCAUUUUUAAAGGUUCAUCUAUUCCUUCUUUGUCAGUAGUCCCUUGGUAUAUAUUGAACAUCUGUGAUCGGAAGCUGAGCUGAUGAUUACUCAAAAAUCUGUUUCCUGAAAAACCAUUGAUUUCUGAAAGUUCACCAGAUUUGUCUGGUACCAAAGAAGAAAGUGAAAACCAUAUGCUAUGAGAAGCUUACGAGCUUUAUCUAUUCGUUCA
Molecule: non-coding RNA, 3391 nt
Organism: Punica granatum (pomegranate)
Lineage: Eukaryota; Viridiplantae; Streptophyta; Magnoliopsida; Myrtales; Lythraceae
Source: RefSeq, a predicted model, not a curated record